GCCGGGCGUGGUGGCACACGCCUGUAAUCCCAGCUACUUGGGAGGCUGAGGCAGGACAGUUGCUUGAACCCAGGAGGCGGAGGUUGCAGUGAGCCAAGAUGGCACCACUGCACUCCAGCCUGGGUGACAGAGCAAGACUCUGUCUCAA
Unclassified non-coding RNA from Pongo abelii (Sumatran orangutan), 148 nucleotides. It matches the Rfam family "Metazoan signal recognition particle RNA". Rfam says of the family: The signal recognition particle (SRP) is a universally conserved ribonucleoprotein. Lineage: Eukaryota; Metazoa; Chordata; Mammalia; Primates; Hominidae. The record is from Ensembl.